GUGGGGAAUUUUGGACAAUGGGGGCAACCCUGAUCCAGCCAUGCCGCGUGAGUGAAGAAGGCCUUCGGGUUGUAAAGCUCUUUCGGACAGAAAGAAAUCGUGCGGGCCAAUACCCUGCAUGGAUGACGGUACUGUAAGAAGAAGCACCGGCUAACUACGUGCCAGCAGCCGCGGUAAUACGUAGGGUGCGAGCGUUAAUCGGAAUUACUGGGCGUAAAGCGUGCGCAGGCGGUUUCGUAAGACAGAUGUGAAAUCCCCGGGCUUAACCUGGGAACUGCAUUUGUGACUGCGAGGCUAGAGUACGGCAGAGGGGGGUAGAAUUCCACGUGUAGCAGUGAAAUGCGUAGAUAUGUGGAGGAAUACCGAUGGCGAAGGCAGCCCCCUGGGUCGAUACUGACGCUCAUGCACGAAAGCGUGGGGAGCAAACAGGAUUAGAAACCCGGGUAGUCC
Molecule: ribosomal RNA, 450 nt
Filed under: uncultured bacterium
Lineage: Bacteria
Description: bacterial SSU rRNA
Rfam family: Bacterial small subunit ribosomal RNA
Source: RNAcentral